Molecule: ribosomal RNA, 628 nt
Filed under: Veillonella sp. HGFM85
Lineage: Bacteria; Bacillati; Bacillota; Negativicutes; Veillonellales; Veillonellaceae
Description: bacterial SSU rRNA
Rfam family: Bacterial small subunit ribosomal RNA
Source: RNAcentral
AGUCGACGAAAGCGAUGGAAGCUUGCUUCUAUCAAUCUUAGUGGCGAACGGGUGAGUAACGCGUAAUCAACCUGCCCUUCAGAGGGGGACAACAGUUGGAAACGACUGCUAAUACCGCAUACGAUCUAAUCUCGGCAUCGAGGAUAGAUGAAAGGUGGCCUCUACAUGUAAGCUAUCACUGAAGGAGGGGAUUGCGUCUGAUUAGCUAGUUGGAGGGGUAACGGCCCACCAAGGCGAUGAUCAGUAGCCGGUCUGAGAGGAUGAACGGCCACAUUGGGACUGAGACACGGCCCAGACUCCUACGGGAGGCAGCAGUGGGGAAUCUUCCGCAAUGGACGAAAGUCUGACGGAGCAACGCCGCGUGAGUGAUGACGGCCUUCGGGUUGUAAAGCUCUGUUAAUCGGGACGAAAGGCCUUCUUGCAAAUAGUGAGAAGGAUUGACGGUACCGGAAUAGAAAGCCACGGCUAACUACGUGCCAGCAGCCGCGGUAAUACGUAGGUGGCAAGCGUUGUCCGAAAUUAUUGGGCGUAAAGCGCGCGCAGGCGGAUAGGUCAGUCUGUCUUAAAAGUUCGGGGCUUAACCCCGUGAUGGGAUGGACACUGCCAAUCUAGAGUAUCGGAGAGGAAA